GGGCAAGAGAUAUCACAAGGUGAGAGGUUUUGUUAUUUAGAAUCUACUAUGGAAAAUAACAUUAAUUUAGAUGAGGAUAUAUGUAAUAAUAUUGGAUCUGGUUGGAUAGAGUGGUAAAGUUUUUUUGAGGUAUUAUGUGAUAAAUGCACACUUUGGUGGCUUGAAUGGAAAUUUUGUAGAACAAUGAGGCCUACAAUAUUAUAUUAGUUUGGAUAUUUGGCAAUAAAAAUGGUUUAGAAAACAAAUAUAGCAGAAAUGAGGAUGUUGAGAUGGAUGCAUCAUAAAACUAGAGCAAAUAAAUUGAUAAAUAAGUUUGUUAGUGGAGUUAUUGGAUUUGCAUAAAUUAAGGACAAAAUGAUGGAGAAUUUGACUAAGAUGAUAUAGGUAUGAAAAUGAAUAUCUGAGGGGCUUUGGUAAUAUGUACUUUAAUAAUUUCCAUUGAAGGAAGGAGGAUGCACAGACCUAAGGUAACAUGGAUGGAAUUUGUGAGGAA
This 493-nucleotide long non-coding RNA is filed under the name Elaeis guineensis (African oil palm). RNAcentral describes it as "long non-coding RNA (EGUI_LNC022930)". The record is from RNAcentral. Lineage: Eukaryota; Viridiplantae; Streptophyta; Magnoliopsida; Arecales; Arecaceae.